RNAcentral lists this ribosomal RNA (678 nucleotides) under Enterobacter sp. RNAcentral's name for it is "bacterial SSU rRNA". It matches the Rfam family "Bacterial small subunit ribosomal RNA", at positions 72 to 752 of the family's 1533-position model. The record is from RNAcentral. Lineage: Bacteria; Pseudomonadati; Pseudomonadota; Gammaproteobacteria; Enterobacterales; Enterobacteriaceae.
UUGCUCCUGGGUGACGAGCGGCGGACGGGUGAGUAAUGUCUGGGAAACUGCCUGAUGGAGGGGGAUAACUACUGGAAACGGUAGCUAAUACCGCAUAACGUCGCAAGACCAAAGAGGGGGACCUUCGGGCCUCUUGCCAUCAGAUGUGCCCAGAUGGGAUUAGCUAGUAGGUGGGGUAAUGGCUCACCUAGGCGACGAUCCCUAGCUGGUCUGAGAGGAUGACCAGCCACACUGGAACUGAGACACGGUCCAGACUCCUACGGGAGGCAGCAGUGGGGAAUAUUGCACAAUGGGCGCAAGCCUGAUGCAGCCAUGCCGCGUGUAUGAAGAAGGCCUUCGGGUUGUAAAGUACUUUCAGCGAGGAGGAAGGCAUUAAGGUUAAUAACCUUGGUGAUUGACGUUACUCGCAGAAGAAGCACCGGCUAACUCCGUGCCAGCAGCCGCGGUAAUACGGAGGGUGCAAGCGUUAAUCGGAAUUACUGGGCGUAAAGCGCACGCAGGCGGUCUGUCAAGUCGGAUGUGAAAUCCCCGGGCUCAACCUGGGAACUGCAUUCGAAACUGGCAGGCUAGAGUCUUGUAGAGGGGGGUAGAAUUCCAGGUGUAGCGGUGAAAUGCGUAGAGAUCUGGAGGAAUACCGGUGGCGAAGGCGGCCCCCUGGACAAAGACUGACGCUCAGGU